This 86-nucleotide transfer RNA is filed under the name bacterium. RNAcentral's name for it is "tRNA-Tyr". It matches the Rfam family "tRNA". Rfam says of the family: Transfer RNA (tRNA) molecules are approximately 80 nucleotides in length. Their secondary structure includes four short double-helical elements and three loops (D, anti-codon, and T loops). The record is from RNAcentral.
GGGCAGGUACCUAAGUGGCUAAAAGGGACAGACUGUAAAUCUGUUGCGCCUGCGCUUCGGGGGUUCGAAUCCCUCCCUGCCCACCA